Molecule: ribosomal RNA, 581 nt
Filed under: Candida tropicalis
Lineage: Eukaryota; Fungi; Ascomycota; Pichiomycetes; Serinales; Debaryomycetaceae
Description: eukaryotic LSU rRNA
Rfam family: Eukaryotic large subunit ribosomal RNA
Source: RNAcentral
GGAGGAAAAGAAACCAACAGGGAUUGCCUUAGUAGCGGCGAGUGAAGCGGCAAAAGCUCAAAUUUGAAAUCUGGCUCUUUCAGAGUCCGAGUUGUAAUUUGAAGAAGGUAUCUUUGGGUCUGGCUCUUGUCUAUGUUUCUUGGAACAGAACGUCACAGAGGGUGAGAAUCCCGUGCGAUGAGAUGAUCCAGGCCUAUGUAAAGUUCCUUCGAAGAGUCGAGUUGUUUGGGAAUGCAGCUCUAAGUGGGUGGUAAAUUCCAUCUAAAGCUAAAUAUUGGCGAGAGACCGAUAGCGAACAAGUACAGUGAUGGAAAGAUGAAAAGAACUUUGAAAAGAGAGUGAAAAAGUACGUGAAAUUGUUGAAAGGGAAGGGCUUGAGAUCAGACUUGGUAUUUUGUAUGUUACUUCUUCGGGGGUGGCCUCUACAGUUUAUCGGGCCAGCAUCAGUUUGGGCGGUAGGAGAAUUGCGUUGGAAUGUGGCACGGCUUCGGUUGUGUGUUAUAGCCUUCGUCGAUACUGCCAGCCUAGACUGAGGACUGCGGUUUAUACCUAGGAUGUUGGCAUAAUGAUCUUAAGUCGCC